This 253-nucleotide ribosomal RNA is filed under the name uncultured bacterium. Its description in RNAcentral is "partial 16S ribosomal RNA". It matches the Rfam family "Bacterial small subunit ribosomal RNA", at positions 524 to 776 of the family's 1533-position model. The record is from RNAcentral.
UACGUAGGCAGCGAGCGUUGUUCGGAGUUACUGGGCGUAAAGGGUGUGUAGGCGGUUGUUUAAGUUUGGUGUGAAAUCUCCCGGCUCAACUGGGAGGGUGCGCCGAAUACUGAAUGACUAGAGUGCGGGAGAGGAAAGUGGAAUUCCUGGUGUAGCGGUGGAAUGCGCAGAUAUCAGGAGGAACACCAAUGGCGAAGGCAGCACUCUGGGACGUGACUGACGCUGAGACGCGAAAGCGUGGGGAGCAAACAGG